GAUCCUGCCAGAGGCGACCGCUUUUGGAGUUCGAUUAAGCCAUGCGAGUAGAAUGAAUUAGAUUCAUUGCAAACUGCUCAGUAACACGUGGAUAACCUGCCCUAUGCUCUGGGAUAACCUCGGGAAACUGAGAAGAAUACCGGAUAGACCACAACGCCUGGAACGGUGUGUGGUUGAAAGGUCACGGCAUAGGAUGGGUCUGCGGCGUAUCAGGUCGUAGGGGGUGUAACGGACCUCCUAGCCAUCGACGCGUACGGGUUGUGGGAGCAAUAGCCCGGAGAUGGAUUCUGAGACACGAAUCCAGACCCUACGGGGUGCAGCAGGCGCGAAAACUUCACACUGCAGGAAACUGUGAUGAGGGAACUCCAAGUGACUGCACAUUGUGUAGCCUUUUCUUUACUAUUAAUCGGUAUUGGAAUAAGGGCUGGGAAAGACCGGUGCCAGCCGCCGCGGUAAUACCGGCAGCUCAAGUGGUCGUCGCUUUUAUUGGGCCUAAAACGUCCGUAGCCUGUUUGGUAAAUCUGUGGGUAAAUCAACCCAGCUUAACUGGUUGAAUUCUGCAGAGACUGCCAGACUAGGGACCGGGAGAGGUGUGGGGUACUCUAGGGGUAGGGGUAAAAUCCUGUCAUCCUUAGAGGACCACCAGUUGCGAAGGCGCCACACUGGAACGGAUCCCGACGGUCAGGGACGAAGCCUAGGGGCACGAACCGGAUUAGAUACCCGGGUAGUCCUAGGUGUAAACGCUGUGAACUUGGUGUCGGGAGUCCGCAAUGGGCCCCCGGUGCCGGAGUGAAGAUGUUAAGUUCACUGCCUGGGGAGUACGGUCGCAAGGCUGAAACUUAAAGGAAUUGGCGGGGGAGCACCACAAGGGGUGAAGCCUGCGGUUCAAUUGGAGUCAACGCCAGAAAUCUUACCCGGAGAGACAGCAGAAUGAAGGUCAAGCUGAAGACUUUACCAGACAAGCUGAGAGGUGGUGCAUGGCCGUCGCCAGCUCGUGCCGUGAGAUGUCCUGUUAAGUCAGGUAACGAGCGAGAUCCCUGCCUCUAGUUGCCACCAUUACUCUCAGGAGUAGUGGGGCGAAUUAGCGGGACCGCCGCAGUUAAUGCGGAGGAAGGAAGGGGCCACGGCAGGUCAGUAUGCCCCGAAACUCUGGGGCCACACGCGGGCUGCAAUGGUAACGACAAUGGGUUUCGAAUCCGAAAGGAUGAGGUAAUCCUCAAACGUUACCACAGUUAUGACUGAGGGCUGCAACUCGCCCUCACGAAUAUGGAAUCCCUAGUAACUGCGUGUCAUUAUCGCGCGGUGAAUACGUCCCUGCUCCUUGCACACACCGCCCGUC
RNAcentral lists this ribosomal RNA (1339 nucleotides) under uncultured prokaryote. RNAcentral's name for it is "partial 16S ribosomal RNA". It matches the Rfam family "Archaeal small subunit ribosomal RNA". The record is from RNAcentral.